GCAUAUCAAUAAGCGGAGGAAAAAGAAACCAACAGGGAUUGCCCUAGUAACGGCGAGUGAAGCGGCAACAGCUCAAAAUUUGAAAAUCUGGCGCAAGCCCGAGUUGUAAUUUGUAGAGGAUGCUUCUGGGUAGCGACCGAUCUAAGUUCCUUGGAACAGGACGUCAUAGAGGGUGAGAAUCCCGUAUGUGACCGGCCCGCACCCUUUACGUAGCUCCUUCGACGAGUCGAGUUGUUUGGGAAUGCAGCUCUAAAUGGGAGGUAAAUUUCUUCUAAAGCUAAAUACCGGCCAGAGACCGAUAGCGCACAAGUAGAGUGAUCGAAAGAUGAAAAGUACUUUGGAAAGAGAGUUAAAAAGCACGUGAAAUUGUUGAAAGGGAAGCGCCUGCAACCAGACUUCGCGGCAGUGUUCCGCCGGUCUUCUGACCGGUUCAUUCUCUGUCGCGAGGCCAUCAUCGUCUGGGCCCGCCGGAUAAGACCUGAGGAAUGUGGCUCCCCCUCGGGGGGAGUGUUAUAGCCUCUGGUGAUGCGGCGUGGCUCGGGCGAGGUCCGCGCUUCGGCAAGGAUGAUGGCGUAAUGGUUGUCGGCGGCCCGUCUUGAAACACGGACCAAGGAGUCUAACAUCUAUGCGAGUGUUCGGGUGUCAAACCCCUACGCGUAAUGAAAGUGAAACGGAGGUGGGGAACCGCAAGGUGCACCAUCGACCGAUCCUGAUGUCCUCGGAUGGAUUUGAGUAAGAGCAUAGCUGUUGGGACCCGAAAGAUGGUGAACUAUGCCUGAAUAGGGUGAAGCCCAGAGGAAACUCUGGUGGAGGCUCGCAGCGGUUCUGACGUGCAAAUCGAUCGUCAAAUUUGGGUAUAGGGGGCGAAAGACUAAUCGAAACCAUCUAGUAGCUGGGUUCUGCGA
RNAcentral lists this ribosomal RNA (905 nucleotides) under Cercospora vignigena. Its description in RNAcentral is "LSU rRNA". It matches the Rfam family "Eukaryotic large subunit ribosomal RNA", at positions 38 to 963 of the family's 3401-position model. Lineage: Eukaryota; Fungi; Ascomycota; Dothideomycetes; Mycosphaerellales; Mycosphaerellaceae. The record is from RNAcentral.